RNAcentral lists this ribosomal RNA (253 nucleotides) under uncultured bacterium. RNAcentral describes it as "partial 16S ribosomal RNA". It matches the Rfam family "Bacterial small subunit ribosomal RNA", at positions 524 to 776 of the family's 1533-position model. The record is from RNAcentral.
UACGUAGGGGGCUAGCGUUGUUCGGAAUUACUGGGCUUAAAGCGUGCGCAGGCGGCUUCUCAAGUCAGAGGUGAAAGCCCAGAGCUCAACUCUGGAAUUGCCUUUGAGACUGAGUGUCUUGAGUACGAGAGAGGUGAGUGGAAUUCCCAGUGUAGAGGUGAAAUUCGUAGAUAUUGGGAAGAACACCGGUGGCGAAGGCGGCUCACUGGCUCGUAACUGACGCUCAUGCACGACAGCGUGGGGAUCAAACAGG